Molecule: ribosomal RNA, 474 nt
Filed under: uncultured bacterium
Lineage: Bacteria
Description: bacterial SSU rRNA
Rfam family: Bacterial small subunit ribosomal RNA
Source: RNAcentral
GAGUUUGAUCCUGGCUCAGAUUGAACGCUGGCGGCAGGCCUAACACAUGCAAGUCGAACGGUAACAGGAAGAAGCUUGCUUCUUUGCUGACGAGUGGCGGACGGGUGAGUAAUGUCUGGGAAACUGCCUGAUGGAGGGGGAUAACUACUGGAAACGGUAGCUAAUACCGCAUAACGUCGCAAGACCAAAGAGGGGGACCUUCGGGCCUCUUGCCAUCGGAUGUGCCCAGAUGGGAUUAGCUAGUAGGUGGGGUAACGGCUCACCUAGGCGACGAUCCCUAGCUGGUCUGAGAGGAUGACCAGCCACACUGGAACUGAGACACGGUCCAGACUCCUACGGGAGGCAGCAGUGGGGAAUAUUGCACAAUGGGCGCAAGCCUGAUGCAGCCAUGCCGCGUGUAUGAAGAAGGCCUUCGGGUUGUAAAGUACUUUCAGCGGGGAGGAAGGGAGUAAAGUUAAUACCUUUGCUCAUUGA